Molecule: ribosomal RNA, 577 nt
Filed under: uncultured bacterium
Lineage: Bacteria
Description: bacterial LSU rRNA
Rfam family: Bacterial large subunit ribosomal RNA
Source: RNAcentral
AGCGACCAAGCGCAUGCGGUGGAUGCCUUGGCGACCACAGGCGACGAAAGACGUGGCAGCCUGCGAAAAGCUCCGGGGAGCUGGCAAACGAGCACUGAUCCGGAGAUCUCUGAAUGGGGAAACCCACCCGCGAGGGUAUCCCGGACCGAAUCCAUAGGUCCGGGAGGCGAACCCGGGGAACUGAAACAUCUCAGUACCCGGAGGAACAGAAAAUCAACCGAGAUUCCGCCAGUAGCGGCGAGCGAACGCGGAACAGCCACCGGCAGCUAACCGCCGGGUUAGGAGAACGGCCUGGAACGGCCGGCCGCAGCGGGUGACAGCCCCGUAUCCGAAAACCCGACGGCGAGACUAGGGCCGGGACAAGUAAGGCGGGGCACGUGAAACCCUGUCCGAACACGGGGGGACCAUCCUCCAAGGCUAAAAUACUCGUGGUCGACCGAUAGCGAACCAGUACCGUGAGGGAAAGGCGAAAAGAACCCCGGCGAGGGGAGUGAAACAGAACCUGAAACCGCAUGCGUACAAGCAGUCGGAGCCCCUUCGUGGGGUGACGGCGUACCUUUUGUAUAAUGGGUCAGCG